GUAGGUGGCAAGCGUUGUCCGGAAUUAUUGGGCGUAAAGCGCGCGCAGGCGGUUCUUUAAGUCUGAUGUGAAAGCCCACGGCUCAACCGUGGAGGGUCAUUGGAAACUGAGAACUUGAGUACAGAAGAGGAAAGCGGAAUUCCACGUGUAGCGGUGAAAUGCGUAGAGAUGUGGAGGAACACCAGUGGCGAAGGCGGCUUUCUGGUCUGUAACUGACGCUGAGGCGCGAAAGCGUGGGGAGCAAACAGGGAUUAGAUACCCUGGUAGUCCACGCCGUAAACGAUGAGUGCUAAGUGUUAGGGGGGUUUCCGCCCCCUUAGUGCUGCAGCUAACGCAUUAAGCACUCCGCCUGGGGAGUACGGCCGCAAGGCUG
RNAcentral lists this ribosomal RNA (373 nucleotides) under uncultured organism. RNAcentral's name for it is "partial 16S ribosomal RNA". It matches the Rfam family "Bacterial small subunit ribosomal RNA", at positions 527 to 896 of the family's 1533-position model. The record is from RNAcentral.